This 450-nucleotide ribosomal RNA is filed under the name uncultured bacterium. Its description in RNAcentral is "partial 16S ribosomal RNA". It matches the Rfam family "Bacterial small subunit ribosomal RNA", at positions 338 to 795 of the family's 1533-position model. The record is from RNAcentral.
CCUACGGGGGGCAGCAGUGGGGAAUUUUGGACAAUGGGGGCAACCCUGAUCCAGCCAUGCCGCGUGAGUGAAGAAGGCCUUCGGGUUGUAAAGCUCUUUCGGCCGGGAAGAAAUCGCUCAAGCUAAUACCUUGGGUGGAUGACGGUACCGGAAGAAGAAGCACCGGCUAACUACGUGCCAGCAGCCGCGGUAAUACGUAGGGUGCGAGCGGUGAUCGGAAUGACUGGGCGUAAAGCGUGCGCAGGCGGGGGGAAUCCCCGGGCUUAACCUGGGAAGUGCGUGUGUGACUGUGGUGCUCGAGUGCGGCAGAGGGGGGUGGAAGUCCACGUGUAGCAGUGAAAUGCGUAGAGAUGUGGAGGAACACCGAUGGCGAAGGCAGCCCCCUGGGUCGACACUGACGCUCAUGCACGAAAGCGUGGGGAGCAAACAGGAUUAGAUACCCGUGUAGUC